RNAcentral lists this transfer RNA (72 nucleotides) under Tethya wilhelma. RNAcentral's name for it is "trnC". It matches the Rfam family "tRNA". From Rfam's summary of the family: Transfer RNA (tRNA) molecules are approximately 80 nucleotides in length. Their secondary structure includes four short double-helical elements and three loops (D, anti-codon, and T loops). Further hydrogen bonds mediate the characteristic L-shaped molecular structure. tRNAs have two regions of fundamental functional importance: the anti-codon, which is responsible for specific mRNA codon recognition, and the 3' end, to which the tRNAs corresponding amino acid is attached (by aminoacyl-tRNA synthetases). tRNAs cope with the degeneracy of the genetic code in two manners: having more than one tRNA (with a specific anti-codon) for a particular amino acid; and 'wobble' base-pairing, i.e. permitting non-standard base-pairing at the 3rd anti-codon position. The record is from RNAcentral. Lineage: Eukaryota; Metazoa; Porifera; Demospongiae; Tethyida; Tethyidae.
GGCGUUAUAGCAUAAUUGGAAUUGCAAGAGUUUGCAAAAUUAUUAGUAUGGGUUCAAUUCCCAUUGGCGCCU